RNAcentral lists this ribosomal RNA (185 nucleotides) under uncultured rumen bacterium. RNAcentral describes it as "partial 16S ribosomal RNA". It matches the Rfam family "Bacterial small subunit ribosomal RNA", at positions 348 to 524 of the family's 1533-position model. The record is from RNAcentral.
GCAGCAGUGGGGGAUAUUGCGCAAUGGGGGAAACCCUGACCGAGCAACGCCGCGUGAGUGAAGAAGGUUUUCGGAUCGUAAAGCUCUGUUGUAAGAGAAGAACGUGUGUGAGAGUGGAAAGUUCACACAGUGACGGUAACUUACCAGAAAGGGACGGCUAACUACGUGCCAGCAGCCGCGGUAAU